This 253-nucleotide ribosomal RNA is filed under the name uncultured bacterium. Its description in RNAcentral is "partial 16S ribosomal RNA". It matches the Rfam family "Bacterial small subunit ribosomal RNA", at positions 524 to 776 of the family's 1533-position model. The record is from RNAcentral.
UACGAAGGGUGCAAGCGUUACUCGGAAUUACUGGGCGUAAAGGGUGCGUAGGUGGUUGUUUAAGUCUGCUGUGAAAGCCCCGGGCUCAACCUGGGAAUGGCAGUGGAUACUGGACAGCUAGAGUGCGGUAGAGGGUAGUGGAAUUCCCGGUGUAGUGGUGGAAUGCGUAGAUAUCGGGAGGAACACCAGUGGCGAAGGCGGUUGCCUGGGGCUUUGCUGACGCUGAUGCGCGAAAGCGUGGGGAGCAAACAGG